RNAcentral lists this ribosomal RNA (253 nucleotides) under uncultured bacterium. RNAcentral describes it as "partial 16S ribosomal RNA". It matches the Rfam family "Bacterial small subunit ribosomal RNA", at positions 524 to 776 of the family's 1533-position model. The record is from RNAcentral.
UACAGAGGGUGCAAGCGUUAAUCGGAAUUACUGGGCGUAAAGCGUGCGUAGUCGGUUAUCUAAGUCGGGUGUGAAAUCCCCGGGCUCAACCUGGGAAUUGCAUUCGAUACUGGAUAGCUAGAGUUCGGCAGAGGGAAGCGGAAUUUACGGUGUAGCGGUGAAAUGCGUAGAUAUCGUAAGGAAGACCAGUGGCGAAGGCGGGUCUCUGGACAGUUCCUGACGCUGAGGCCCGAAGGUCAGGGGAGCAAACGGG